This is a long non-coding RNA of Cyprinus carpio (common carp), 471 nucleotides long. RefSeq lists it as uncharacterized. Lineage: Eukaryota; Metazoa; Chordata; Actinopteri; Cypriniformes; Cyprinidae. The transcript has 4 exons. The record is from RefSeq and is a predicted model, not a curated record.
AGUGAGUGUGAUUGUGAUUGUUGUCUGCGCUUCGUUCGCUCUUCUUCUUCCUGCUCUGAUUCUUUGGCUGAUUCGUAAAAAAAGAGCCGAUGUCAGAAGAGAGACUGAGGACUCUGUGGAGCAGGCUGAUGAUGUGACUUAUACUGAAGUUACUGCGUACAGUAAAAACAGAGCCAAAAAGAACAAGGUUCGCUGUGAUGAUAAAGUGACUUACGCUUCCAUCAGAGGAACAAAAGCUGGAGCUCAGGAAAACUGCAGUCAACUUUAAUCCUCUGUGAACAAGAACCACCACAAAUCACACAAAUAAUUAUACAGAAACCACAUCAGCAGAGGAAUACAAACCGGAUUCCUGAUGGUUUGAUUCAGUGCCAUUAUAAUAAUAGCAGUGUCUUUCACAUGUUAAGAAACAAGCUCUGAUUUAUUUGUAGUUAUUGGUGAUUCUGGUCAGUUUGUCAUGUGUUUUGUACAGUA